RNAcentral lists this unclassified non-coding RNA (195 nucleotides) under uncultured fungus. Its description in RNAcentral is "sequence contains ITS1". The record is from RNAcentral. Lineage: Eukaryota; Fungi.
CACUCAGUAGAUUUCUACUGCACGGGGGGAGCGGAAAAUAGCCAUCUUGCGUCUGCAAUUUGGCUUACGAGUAUGCUCCCUGUCUGAACCCUUGUCUUUUUGCGUACUCAUGUUUCCUCGGCGGGCUUGCCCGCCAGUUGGACAACUCAACAACCUUUUUAAUUUCAAUCAGCGUCUGAAUAAUUAUAAUAAUUA